GACAGAGGGGGCAAGCGUUGCUCGGAAUCACUGGGCGUAAAGGGCGCGUAGGCGGGAUGGCAAGUCAGUCGUGAAAUCUCUCGGCUCAACCGAGAAACGUCGGCUGAUACUGCCGUUCUUGAGGGAUGCAGAGGAGACUGGAAUUCCCGGUGUAGCGGUGAAAUGCGCAGAUAUCAGGAGGAACACCGAUGGCGAAGGCAGGUCUCUGGGCCGAUACUGACGCUGAGGAGCGAAAGCGUGGGGAGCGAACAGG
RNAcentral lists this ribosomal RNA (253 nucleotides) under uncultured bacterium. RNAcentral describes it as "partial 16S ribosomal RNA". It matches the Rfam family "Bacterial small subunit ribosomal RNA", at positions 524 to 776 of the family's 1533-position model. The record is from RNAcentral.